RNAcentral lists this transfer RNA (73 nucleotides) under Bacteroidota bacterium. RNAcentral describes it as "Bacteroidetes bacterium (freshwater metagenome) tRNA-Lys". It matches the Rfam family "tRNA". From Rfam's summary of the family: Transfer RNA (tRNA) molecules are approximately 80 nucleotides in length. Their secondary structure includes four short double-helical elements and three loops (D, anti-codon, and T loops). Lineage: Bacteria; Pseudomonadati; Bacteroidota. The record is from RNAcentral.
GAUUCCGUAGCUCAGUUGGUAGAGCAAUACACUUUUAAUGUAUGGGCCCUGGGUUCGAAUCCCAGCGGAAUCA